This 74-nucleotide transfer RNA is filed under the name Capsicum annuum. It matches the Rfam family "tRNA". From Rfam's summary of the family: Transfer RNA (tRNA) molecules are approximately 80 nucleotides in length. Their secondary structure includes four short double-helical elements and three loops (D, anti-codon, and T loops). Further hydrogen bonds mediate the characteristic L-shaped molecular structure. tRNAs have two regions of fundamental functional importance: the anti-codon, which is responsible for specific mRNA codon recognition, and the 3' end, to which the tRNAs corresponding amino acid is attached (by aminoacyl-tRNA synthetases). tRNAs cope with the degeneracy of the genetic code in two manners: having more than one tRNA (with a specific anti-codon) for a particular amino acid; and 'wobble' base-pairing, i.e. permitting non-standard base-pairing at the 3rd anti-codon position. Lineage: Eukaryota; Viridiplantae; Streptophyta; Magnoliopsida; Solanales; Solanaceae. The record is from Rfam by way of RNAcentral.
AUAAUCUUAGUUAAGUUCAAUAGAACAUGGGCCUCCAAAAUCCAAUGUCGUAGGUUCAAAUCAUACAAAGUGUG